AUUGAACGCUGGCGGCAGGCCUAACACAUGCAAGUCGAACGGUAACAGGAAGCAGCUUGCUGCUUUGCUGACGAGUGGCGGACGGGUGAGUAAUGUCUGGGAAACUGCCCGAUGGAGGGGGAUAACUACUGGAAACGGUAGCUAAUACCGCAUAACGUCGCAAGACCAAAGAGGGGGACCUUAGGGCCUCUUGCCAUCGGAUGUGCCCAGAUGGGAUUAGCUAGUAGGUGGGGUAACGGCUCACCUAGGCGACGAUCCCUAGCUGGUCUGAGAGGAUGACCAGCCACACUGGAACUGAGACACGGUCCAGACGCCUACGGGAGGCAGCAGUGGGGAAUAUUGCACAAUGGGCGCAAGCCUGAUGCAGCCAUGCCGCGUGUAUGAAGAAGGCCUUCGGGUUGUAAAGUACUUUCAGCGGGGAGGAAGGGAGUAAAGUUAAUACCGUUGCUCAUUGACGUUACCCGCAGAAGAAGCACCGGCUAACUCCGUG
RNAcentral lists this ribosomal RNA (490 nucleotides) under uncultured bacterium. Its description in RNAcentral is "partial 16S ribosomal RNA". It matches the Rfam family "Bacterial small subunit ribosomal RNA", at positions 30 to 507 of the family's 1533-position model. The record is from RNAcentral.